Molecule: ribosomal RNA, 406 nt
Filed under: uncultured bacterium
Lineage: Bacteria
Description: partial 16S ribosomal RNA
Rfam family: Bacterial small subunit ribosomal RNA
Source: RNAcentral
AUUGAACGCUGGCGGCAGGCCUAACACCUGCAAGUCGAGCGGAGCGGCGGACGGGUGAGUAAUGCCUAGGAAUCUGCCUGGUAGUGGGGGAUAACGUCCGGAAACGGGCGCUAAUACCGCAUACUAUCAGAUGAGCCUAGGUCGGAUUAGCUAGUUGGUGGGGUAAAGGCCUACCAAGGCGACGAUCCGUAACUGGUCUGAGAGGAUGAUCAGUCACACUGGAACUGAGACAGGGCCCAAACUCCAAGGGAGGGCAUCGGUGGGAAAUAUUGCACAAUGGGCGCAAGCCUGAUGCAGCCAUGCCGCGUGUAUGAAGAGGUCCUUCGGGUUGAAAAGUACUUUCAGCGGGGAGGCGUUACCCGCAGAAGAGGCACCGGCUAACUCCGUGCCAGCGGCCGCGGAAAUA